AUUGAACGCUGGCGGCAGGCUUAACACAUGCAAGUCGAGCGGAGUGAUGGUGCUUGCACUAUCACUUAGCGGCGGACGGGUGAGUAAUGCUUAGGAAUCUGCCUAUUAGUGGGGGACAACAUCUCGAAAGGGAUGCUAAUACCGCAUACGUCCUACGGGAGAAAGCAGGGGAUCACUUGUGACCUUGCGCUAAUAGAUGAGCCUAAGUGGGAUUAGCUGGUUGGUGGGGUAAAGGCCUACCAAGGCGACGAUCUGUAGCGGGUCGGAGAGGAGGCGCCGCCACACUGGGACUGGGACACAGCCCAGACUACUACGGGAGGAAGCAGUGGGGGAGAUUGGACAAUGGGCAGAACCCUGAUCCAGCCAUGCCGCGUGUGUGAAGAGGGCCUUAUGGUUGUAAAGCACUUUAAGCGAGGAGGAGGCUCUUUUGGUUAAUACCCAAGAUGAGUGGACGUUACUCGCAGAAUAAGCACCGGCUAACUCUGUGCCAGCCGCCGCGGUAA
RNAcentral lists this ribosomal RNA (503 nucleotides) under uncultured bacterium. Its description in RNAcentral is "partial 16S ribosomal RNA". It matches the Rfam family "Bacterial small subunit ribosomal RNA", at positions 30 to 523 of the family's 1533-position model. The record is from RNAcentral.